UUAGUAGCGGCGAGUGACAGGCAAGAGCUCAGAUUUGAAAGCCCUCGGGCAUUGUAUUCUGAAGCCUUGGUCCUGAGAAUCGGUGUUUAAGUCUUCUGGAAAGGAGCGCCAUGGAGGGUGAUAGCCCCGUACGACACCACUCUCAUUGUAGGACUUUGGCAUGGAGUCGAGUUGUUUGGGAAUGCAGCUCAAAUGGGUGGUAUGCUCCAUCUAAAGCUAAAUAUCUGCGAGAGACCGAUAGCGAACAAGUACUGUGAAGGAAAGAUGAAAAGAACUUUGAAAAGAGAGUGAAAAAGUACGUGAAAUUGUUGAAAUGGAAGGAUAGGCCGCUAACCAUGUAGGGUCGUGUUCGAGGGGAAGAUAAAAGCUGAAGAAUGUAGCUCCUCGGAGUGUUAUAGCUUCAGUCCAUAUUCCCUCUCGAGCGCGAGGAUUGAAGAC
Molecule: ribosomal RNA, 438 nt
Filed under: Starmerella apicola
Lineage: Eukaryota; Fungi; Ascomycota; Dipodascomycetes; Dipodascales; Trichomonascaceae
Description: partial large subunit ribosomal RNA
Rfam family: Eukaryotic large subunit ribosomal RNA
Source: RNAcentral